GCUCAGACUGCGCAUGCCAAUAACGAUGAAGCAGGAAGUCUUAUCUUUCUCUGUGGAAGAACAACGAAGGAGGACGCAUGGAGGUUGUAUGCUCUCGCACCCAUAUUAUUUUUAUGAGCAACAACUUGUUGAGUUCCCCGUUCAGGCAACAGCGUUCAUGGACUUGAAGGGUGUUGAAGGAUCCAGACACGGAUGCAUCCUUUGUUGUACUGGAGUUUUUCUUUUGGGGACAGAUGGUGCUGGCUAUGCCAGUAGUGUACUGAGAUUUGAUUGGCUGGCAGGGUACUGAAGACGCUAUAAGAGAUCUACACCAGGGGUGUCACUCAUUCCAUAGAGAGCCUAGUGUCUGUGGGUUUUGGGUUUUCCUUUCAGUUAAGGCUUAGACAACCAGGUGAUGGAGUGACCUUAACUCGUCAAUCAAGUACAGGGAGCAGUGAAAACCUGCAUACACUCUGCCCUUCGUGCAAUGAGUUUGACACGCAAUCUACAUCUUGUUUUUGAGUUAAUGGGCCAGGAUGUAUAUUGAAGAUCUUGCCCUGUGAUUGGGUUUGAUGAUCCAGUAUGUGGAAUAUGAAGACUUAAAUCUCAACCCUAUGGUGAGUGUGAGGGCUAAAUAGCCAACUGGUUUCCUUCAGUCUUCUACUGGAGUUGUGAUGACUUCUCACUUUUGCUAUUUACUGAUCUGACUAAAUUGGGAUGCUGUGACUAACUGAACUGCCAAUAUUAGCAUUGAUCAUUAUAGGUAGACGCAGCGAUAUGGUAUAGAUGCAGUGAGUAAAGGGGUCAAUUUCCACAACUAAGAGUGUUGAAGCGUGAGCAUCUUGCUUAGCUCAAUAUCUGCGGUGCACCUCGUGGCAGGGGCUACCUGCAAUCAUUAAACCUGCAAUCCCUGACUACGGUUUGAGACUCUUAUUUCAUCAUGCAGGAUUGUUAGGCCUGCAGUAGGGGAGUUAUUUCCUGGGUUGAGAGGUGUCCAUUCAUUUUAAAUGGAAUUGAUGCCCUUUCUGACAUUUCUGCUAAUUUACCCUGCUGAAAAGCCAUUCAUUUGAAUUACCAGCAUUGUAACUAAACCCACGAUGGUAGAAAGUUGUAGGUUGAUGGCUAAUCUUAUUAGACAAUGGUCAUUUAUUUAACUGAUUUCUUCUAUUCGUUGACAAUUCACAAGGUUUGGAAAGCAGUGCAUGAACUCCUUCACAAAUAUGACCCUGGAGACCUAAACUAUCACCCUAUUUUCACCAUUCUUGCCUGUCAAAAAAAGCACAACCUUGGUCUGACUCCCCUGCUUAAGGUUAAAUGUUUGUUUUAAUCAGAUUUUAUUCUGCCCCGUUAUGAAAUAAAAUAUUUUAUGGUA
Non-coding RNA from Oncorhynchus mykiss (rainbow trout), 1351 nucleotides. NCBI's taxonomy places the organism in Eukaryota, Metazoa, Chordata, Actinopteri, Salmoniformes, Salmonidae. The record is from RefSeq and is a predicted model, not a curated record.